Molecule: ribosomal RNA, 493 nt
Filed under: uncultured delta proteobacterium
Lineage: Bacteria; Deltaproteobacteria
Description: bacterial SSU rRNA
Rfam family: Bacterial small subunit ribosomal RNA
Source: RNAcentral
GAGUUUGAUCCUGGCUCAGAACGAACGUUAGCGGCGCGCCUAAUACAUGCAAGUCGUGCGAGAAAGGGCUUCGGCCCCAGUAAAGCGGCGCACGGGUGAGUAACACGUAGGUAAUCUCCCCUCGAGUGGUGGAUAACUCUCCGAAAGGAGAGCUAAUACAGCAUGAGACCACGACCUCGCUGAGGUUGCGGCCAAAGCAGGCCACUACAUGUAAGCUUGCGCUUGAGGAUGAGCCUGCGGCCCAUCAGCUAGUUGGUAGGGUAAUGGCCUACCAAGGCUUAGACGGGUAGCUGGUCUGAGAGGAUGAACAGCCACACUGGAACUGAGACACGGUCCAGACUCCUACGGGAGCAGCAGUAGGGAAUCUUGCGCAAUGGACGAAAGUCUGACGCAGCGACGCCGCGUGAGCGAUGAAGGCCUUCGGGUCGUAAAGCUCUGGUGGGGAGGGAAGAAGUAAGGGCAAGCUAAUAUCUUGUCCGAUGACGGUACCUCC